Etheostoma spectabile (orangethroat darter) is the source of this 78-nucleotide long non-coding RNA. RefSeq lists it as uncharacterized. NCBI's taxonomy places the organism in Eukaryota, Metazoa, Chordata, Actinopteri, Perciformes, Percidae. The record is from RefSeq and is a predicted model, not a curated record. The transcript has 3 exons.
GAAACAACCUUUACGACAGCAGGUGUGGGAAAAACACUGAAUCAACACACACUGGAAAAUCAACAAACUGAAACAACA